CGCGUAGGCGGUUCGAUAAGUCCCGUGUGAAAUCCCUCGGCUCAACUGAGGAAUGGCACGGGAAACUGACGGGCUUGAGUUCGGGAGAGGGAAGCGGAAUUCCGGGUGUAGCGGUGAAAUGCGUAGAUAUCCGGAGGAACACCGGUGGCGAAGGCGGCUUCCUGGACCGACACUGACGCUGAGGCGCGAAAGCUAGGGGAGCAAACGGGAUUAGAUACCCCGGUAGUCCUAGCUGUAAACGAUGAGUGCUGGGUGUAGGGGGUAUCAACCCCCCCUGUGCCGAAGCUAACGCAUUAAGCACUCCGCCUGGGGAGUACGGUCGCAAGGCUGAA
This 332-nucleotide ribosomal RNA is filed under the name uncultured Acidobacteriota bacterium. RNAcentral describes it as "bacterial SSU rRNA". It matches the Rfam family "Bacterial small subunit ribosomal RNA", at positions 568 to 898 of the family's 1533-position model. The record is from RNAcentral. Lineage: Bacteria; Pseudomonadati; Acidobacteriota.